This is an RNA transcript of Oncorhynchus tshawytscha (Chinook salmon), 4416 nucleotides long. It is a transcript of the gene named tight junction protein ZO-2-like, with no coding region annotated. NCBI's taxonomy places the organism in Eukaryota, Metazoa, Chordata, Actinopteri, Salmoniformes, Salmonidae. The transcript is spliced from 23 exons. The record is from RefSeq and is a predicted model, not a curated record.
GGGAGGGAGAAAGGACGUUUCGGACGGAUGAGAGACCCUGACUCCCGUCCCGACCGCCGCCCACAUGGCUCGUAUCGUGUAGCGAGGUGGUUGACGUGUUGACAGCUCUCCGCAGGAAGUGGGUUCACACUCAGGACUCUGCGGGGAGGAGGGGGAGGAAGCGUGAGUUGUGUUUAUUUUUAGUUGCCCCUGGGUCGACUAAUCUGUUAUGCCACGCCAGCUUAAUGGGAUUGAGCUGUCUCCAGUAGGCAUGGGACUGUAGGACCGACCGGAGGGCUGCUCGCUGGGUUCUCUGCUGCGCCUCACCGCACCAUGGCGUCAGGAUCUGAACCAAACCAGCCUCGUCUGGUACCAUACAAGCAGAGCACUGAGCCAGACAUGACUCGGACGUAGCCGAGCUGAGCCAUGGAUAAGAAACGACAGCGGGUCUCGGUGAGAUGAGCGAUGAAUCUGGACUGCCUGCAGUUGGGGGACUGGUGUUCGGCAGCACGGGGGAGUCCACGGCUGCACCACACGGAGGAGGGCCAGGGUGGAGGGUACCGGGACCAGGGCCGGUGGAGGGCAGCAGGGUGGAGGGUACCGGGACCAGGGCCGGUGGAGGGCAGCAGGGUGGAGGGUACCGGGACCAGGGCCGGUGGAGGGCAGCAGGGUGGCCGAGUAAAGCUGGACCCAGGCUGGAGGGGCCUCUCCUGGGAGGACCGUGGCUCAACCCAGAGGAAUUGAGAAGCACCGUGGUGGUGCUCUACACUCUCGCUGGAAACACCUGCUUCCUCCGACUGAGCUCAGGAAUGGAGGAGACUGUAUGGGAGCAGCACACUGUGAACCUACAAAGGGACUCAAAGAUGGGGUUCGGUAUCGCCGUGUCGGGGGGACGGGACAACCCCAACGUGGAUAACGGAGAGAUGUCAAUCAUCGUGUCAGACGUCCUACAGGGUGGACCAGCCGACGGUCUCCUGUUUGAGAAAGAUCGUGUGAUCCAGGUCAACUCCAUCCUCAUGGACAACGUGCCUCAUUCCUUCGCUGUGCAGCAGUUACGCAAAUGUGGGAAGACCGCCAAGAUAACGGUGAAGAGACCGCGGAAGGUGGCUCUCCACUCCCUGAAGCACCCCCCCUCUCCCGGCGGCCAAAGUCGAGACUUCGGCACCACCCGUUACUACGAUGCCGAUGACAACCAGAGUGACGGGGGCUGGCAACGUGGCAACGGUGGGACCGGUUACACCCACGAGCCUCGUGACCUCACCCCCGACAACAAGAACUACCUGGACCCCGACUACGGCAGCCGCGGUAAUCGGGGGAGGAGUCGGGGGAGGAGCCAGGAGAGGGCAUCGACGAGCCCCGAGCAUCGCCGCGACAACAGCAAGGGGCGGGCCUUGGACCGGGAGCCGCCCAGUCCCGAGAGGCUGCGGUAUCCACGGGAUCGCAGCCGGGGGAGGAGCACGGACCGGGAGAGAGGAGGGGGAGGAGGGAGUCCAGGUGGGAGGAGCUACGGCCGGGGCAACAGUUACGAGCGUGGAGGGGGGAGGUACGGGGAUGUGGGAGGUACUGGAGGGAGGAUGGUGAAGAGUAAGAGUAGAGACCAACUCCAGGAGCCUUCCUCCCCGGACCUCCCAAGAGGAGGAGGAGGCGGAGGAGGAGCUAGAGACCUGGAGCCCCUGGAGAAACCUGUUAACGUCCUGCUGGUCAAGAACAGACCCAACGAAGAGUACGGUCUGCGCCUGGGCAGUCAGAUCUUCAUCAAGGAAAUGACCAGUACAGGACUGGCUACCAAGGACGGAAACUUACAGGAGGGAGACAUCAUUCUCAAGAUCAAUGGGACAGUAACAGAGAACCUGUCUCUGAACGAUGCAGGGAAGCUCAUUGAGAAGUCUAGAGGAAAACUCCAGCUGGUCAUCCAGAGAGACCGGAGACAGAUCCUCAUCCGUAUCCCGCCCCUCGUCGACUCUGACUCCGAACCUGACGAUAUUUCAGAGAUGGAGUCCUACCAUUCCUACUCUCCCCAGGAGGACAGGAGAUCUCGCCACUCUGACCUCUCCUCCCAUUCCUCUAAUGAGAGAGACUACCCCAGACCUCUAACCAGCCUGGAAGACUCUCCAAGGGUAGCCAAGAUGUCUGCCAUGGCCUCACCUUUCAGGGUUCCCCCGCUACAGGACCCCCCCUCCCCGGGCCCUGCCACCCUUGAAUCAGAGGGUCUGCCACGCCUCGACGAACCACCAGCGUCAGCAAAGACCACUCCUAAGAUUCUGCUACGCCCCAGCCCAGAGGAGGAAGAGCUCUACGGGGCUAACACGGUGAUGGUGAGUUUCCAGAAGGGGGACAGUGUGGGUCUGAGGCUGGCGGGGGGCAACGAUGUGGGCAUCUUCAUCGCUGGCAUCCAGGAGGGCAGUCCUGCCGAGGAGGAGGGCCUACGCACUGGAGACCAGAUCAUAAAGGUGAAUAAGGUAGAGUUCCGAGGCAUCGUGAGAGAGGAGGCUGUUCUCUGUCUGCUGGAGAUUCCUAAAGGAGAGGACGUCACCAUACUGGCCCAGAGUAAACCUGAUGUCUACAAUGAAAUCCUGGUGUCGGGUCGUGGGGACUCCUUCUUUAUCAGGACUCAUUUUGAGUAUGAGCGGGAGGCCCCCCAGAGCCUGGCUUUCUCCAGAGGGGAGAUCUUUAAGGUGGUGGACACCCUCUACGACGGCAAGCUGGGCAACUGGCUGGCCAUCCGCACCGGCAAGGACAAACAGCUGCUAGAGAAGGGCAUCAUCCCCAACAAGAGCAGGGCUGACCAGAUGGCGAGCGUUCAGAACUCCCAUAAGGCCGCUGGGACGGACCGGGCUGACUUCUGGCGUCUGAGGGGUCAAAGGGCAGCCAAGAGAAAGGAGCUGAGGAAGAGCAGAGAGGACGUCAGCGCUACGCCCGUCGCCACACGCUUCCCCGCGUACGAGAGAGUCGUGCUCCGAGAGGCUGGUUUCAGACGUCCUGUGGUUCUGUUUGGACCUAUAGCUGAUGCAGCCAACGACAAGCUUGCUAACGAGCUGCCUGACCUGUUCAUCAUUGCCAAAACGGAGCCUAAAGAUGCCGGUUCAGAGAAAUCCUCAGGAGUAGUGAGACUCAACACCAUACGCCUGAUCAUAGAGCAGGACAAGCAUGCCCUGCUGGAUGUGACUCCCAAGGCGGUGGACACACUGAACUACAGCCAGUGGUACCCCAUCGUCAUCUUCUUCAACCCAGACAGUAAACCAGGAGUUAAGGCCAUGAGGCAGAGGGUGAUACCUGGAUCCAACCGCUCGGCACGCAAACUAUACGAACAAGCUGUCAAACUGAGGAAGACCUGUUCUCACCUCUUCUCUGCUACUAUUGAGUUGAACUCGGUCAACGAUGCGUGGUACGGCAGUGUCAAGGACUCUAUCAGAGAGCAGCAGACUCAGGCUGUCUGGGUGUCUGAGGGGAAGCUGGACGGCACGGGGACGGACCUUGAUCUCCAUGACGACCGCAUGUCCUACCUGUCAGCCAUGUCGGCCGACUACCUGAGCAUGGACAGCCGACUGGCCAGUGACUACGAUGACACGGCGGACGAGGGCGGGGCUUAUACGGAUAACGAGCUGGACAAUGAACCGGCCGAUCAACUGCCGGUGUCGGCUAUCAGCCGCUCCUCUGAGCCCGUACUGGCAGAGGAGAUACUGCGCAGGUGCAGUCCAGAUAUCCGUGGUGGCAUCAGGAGGGUGGGCAGCAGGGAGGUGCUCAGCAGUGCCAGCCCAACGCACGUGUUUGUACCUGACCCCCCCAAGGUAAAGCUGUUGUUCAGGGAUGAGGUAGUCCCUCCCAGGGGGGUAGUAGGGGCGUACGACCCCCCCCCCAGCCGUGGCUACGACUCCCACUCCUCCAGCCCUGCCAGCAACGACCCCCUCCUCUCCCUCGCUCCCUCAACUCCUUCGGCAAGGCCAAACCCCUGGCGCUGCAGCCCCCCGUCACCCUCAAACCCUCCUAUAAUAUCCAGGACACCACCAGCAGCACAGCCCCAGUCACAGUGGCCCCUAUGGGCCCGGGGGAACCAGAGGAGAACCCUGAGGACCCCAGCCUCAGGUCAUUCCUGGGGAAGGUCAAGGCCUUCGAGAAGAUGGACCACUUUGCACGCGCUCAGAGGAUGCUGGAGCUGCAGGAGGCACAGAACGCCAGGUUGGAGAUAGCUCAGAAGCACCCAGAUAUCUAUGCUGUCCCCCUGAAGACCCAGAAACUGGACCACAGCCGGCCUCAGCCUAUAGGGUAGGAGCACAACAUGGGAGUGUUUUUAGCCUUUCCAGCUCGCAUCCUGAGCCCCAGACCCCUCCCUCCAAGCUACCGUACUCUGAGAGUCGUGGGUUCUACCUCAGCGAUGAGGAGGAAGGGUACCGACGCCAACUGGCUGAACACACCAAGAGAGGCUACUACCAGGUCAAC